AUACGAAGGUCCCAAGCGUUGUUCGGAUUUACUGGGCGUAAAGCGUCUGUAGGCGGCGUGGUAAGUCAGAUGUGAAAUCCCGGGGCUCAACCCCGGAACUGCAUCCGAUACUGCCAUGCUAGAGUAUUGGAGGGGAGUCUGGAAUUCUCGGUGUAGCAGUGAAAUGCGUAGAUAUCGAGAGGAACACUAGUGGCGAAGGCGAGACUCUGGACAAUUACUGACGCUGAGAGACGAAGGCCAGGGUAGCGAAAAGUAUUAGAAACCCUAGUAGUCC
RNAcentral lists this ribosomal RNA (274 nucleotides) under uncultured bacterium. RNAcentral describes it as "partial 16S ribosomal RNA". It matches the Rfam family "Bacterial small subunit ribosomal RNA", at positions 523 to 796 of the family's 1533-position model. The record is from RNAcentral.